RNAcentral lists this long non-coding RNA (1544 nucleotides) under Anolis carolinensis (green anole). Its description in RNAcentral is "lncRNA (ENSACAG00000044683.1)". The record is from RNAcentral. Lineage: Eukaryota; Metazoa; Chordata; Lepidosauria; Squamata; Anolidae.
ACCUCUCUGCAAUGCUACCUAUAUGAAUUAAGGCAAUUGUUUGAAAAGGGAGUGAAGGGAUUCUUAGAUCUUUCUCCAACAAAGUGAGCCGAUUUUGCAUGCCAGGUCUUUCAUUAUUUCCCUUCAGCCCACACAUCAUCAAAGAGCAUACUUAAUGUCAUCUUGAUGUUUCCAGCUGCCAUUUGUGUUCUUUGAGCGGUGUGUGAGUGCUCAGCCUUUACAUAUUUCUGAGAGAAAUACUCUUAACCCUGUUCUCAUUUCUGAAAUAGAUAUCAGUGUUUCCUUUUUAGGUCAGGAGAAGACAACUGCAUAAUAUUCAAGAGGUAAUUUUCUGUCCUUAGGACCGUCCAAGAUUGCAGAGAUUGCCAAAAACGACAAAAAAGAGGGUGGAAACCCAGGGUCCUAUCACACUAUACUAUUAUAGCACUAUUGUUCCACAUUAAUUGUCUGGCAGCAUCAUAUUGAAUCAUGGGUUUUGCAGUUCCAGGAGUUAUGUAUGUUGCCUUGAGUUCACUGAAGGACAAGUUUGACAGAAAUGUAUCUGGGUGAAUUACCAGUAAUGUAACAUUCAAUAAAAUGACAGUGAUGCUUAUGAUAUAGUUGAUAUUCUUCCUUCAUAUCCAAAUAAUAAUUUGUGCUAAAUCCCUAUUUUCAGAAUAUUAUUGAUACUGGGAUCAGGAAAGUGGUUAUGAGGCCAUUGCCCGGAUGAUUUGUAUGUACAGUAGAGUCUCACUUAUCCAAGCUAAACGGGCCGGCAGAAGCUUGGAUAAGCAAAUAUCUUGGAUAAAAAGGAGGGAUUAAGGAAAAGCCUAUUAAACAUCAAAUUAGGUUAUGAUUUUACAAAUUAAGCACCAAAACAUCAUGUUAUACAACAAAUUGGACAGAAAAUGCAGUUCAAUACGCAGUAAUGUUAUGUUGUAAUUACUGUAUUUACGAAUUUAGCAGCAAAAUAUCACGAUAUAUUGAAAACAUUGACUACAAAAAUGGCUUGGAUUAUCCAGAGGCUUGGAUAAGCGAGGCUUGGAUAAGUGAGACUCUACUGUAAAUAACAACAACAACAACAACAACAACAACAACAACAACAACAACAACAAAGAGGGUUGGAAGAGACCCCUUGGGCCAUUAAGUCCAACCCGCUUUUACCUUUGUGAACCAAAAGCACAAGCAAAGCACCCCUGACAGAUGGCCACCCAGCCUCAAUGUUAAUAAUAAUAAUAAUAAUUAUAAUAAUAAUAAUAAUAAUAAUAAUAAUAAUAAUAAUAAUAAUAAUAAAAAAGAGGGUUGGAAGAGACCCUUUGGGCCAUUGAGUCCAAUCCCCUUAUGCCUUUGUGCAUCAAAAGCACUAGCAAAGCACCCCUGACAGAUGGCCACCCAGCCUCAAUGUUAAUAAUAAUAAUAAUGUGAUUUUGUGAUACGAAAUCCAGCAUAUCUAUCUUGUUUGCUGUGUCAUAAAAUAUAAUAAUAAUAAUAAUAAUAAUAAUAAUAAUAAUAAUAAUAAUAAUAAUGGUUGUAAGAGAAGAAGAGACCCCUUGGGUUAUUUAGUC